Molecule: ribosomal RNA, 426 nt
Filed under: uncultured bacterium
Lineage: Bacteria
Description: bacterial SSU rRNA
Rfam family: Bacterial small subunit ribosomal RNA
Source: RNAcentral
UGGGGAAUCUUGCGCAAUGGGCGAAAGCCUGACGCAGCGACGCCGCGUGCGGGAAGAAGGCCUUCGGGUUGUAAACCGCUUUCAGGAGGGACGAAGCCACUCGGGUGAACAGCCCAGAGGGUGACGGUACCUCCAGAAGAAGCCCCGGCUAACUACGUGCCAGCAGCCGCGGUAAUACGUAGGGGGCAAGCGUUGUCCGGAUUCAUUGGGCGUAAAGAGCGUGUAGGCGGCCAGGUAGGUCGGUUGUGAAAACUGGAGGCUCAACCUUCAGAGGUCGACCGAAACCAUCUGGCUAGAGUCCGGGAGAGGAGAGUGGAAUUCCUGGUGUAGCGGUGAAAUGCGCAGAGAUCAGGAAGAACACCCGUGGCGAAAGCGGCUCUCUGGAACGGUACUGACGCUGAGACGCGAAAGCGUGGGGAGCGAACA